AUACUUACCUGGCAAGGGAGAUACUGUGAUCAAGAAGGCAGUUCACCCAGGGCGUAGCUCAGCCUAUUGCCACUCCGGCUGUGCUAGACCAGCCUGCGAAUUUCCCAAAUGUUGAAAUCUCCGAUUGCAUAAUGUGAUGUAGUGGGGACAUGCGUUCGCGCUCUCCCCUG
Molecule: small nuclear RNA, 170 nt
Organism: Oncorhynchus kisutch (coho salmon)
Lineage: Eukaryota; Metazoa; Chordata; Actinopteri; Salmoniformes; Salmonidae
Gene: U1
Rfam family: U1 spliceosomal RNA
About the family: U1 is a small nuclear RNA (snRNA) component of the spliceosome (involved in pre-mRNA splicing). Its 5' end forms complementary base pairs with the 5' splice junction, thus defining the 5' donor site of an intron.
Source: Ensembl